Molecule: non-coding RNA, 26 nt
Filed under: Mus musculus (house mouse)
Lineage: Eukaryota; Metazoa; Chordata; Mammalia; Rodentia; Muridae
Source: RNAcentral
UAGGUACUGAAGCCGAUGGGCUUGGA